RNAcentral lists this ribosomal RNA (589 nucleotides) under Escherichia coli. RNAcentral describes it as "partial 23S ribosomal RNA". It matches the Rfam family "Bacterial large subunit ribosomal RNA", at positions 1144 to 1735 of the family's 2925-position model. Lineage: Bacteria; Pseudomonadati; Pseudomonadota; Gammaproteobacteria; Enterobacterales; Enterobacteriaceae. The record is from RNAcentral.
ACUGGUCGAGUCGGCCUGCGCGGAAGAUGUAACGGGGCUAAACCAUGCACCGAAGCUGCGGCAGCGACACUAUGUGUUGUUGGGUAGGGGAGCGUUCUGUAAGCCUGUGAAGGUGUACUGUGAGGUAUGCUGGAGGUAUCAGAAGUGCGAAUGCUGACAUAAGUAACGAUAAAGCGGGUGAAAAGCCCGCUCGCCGGAAGACCAAGGGUUCCUGUCCAACGUUAAUCGGGGCAGGGUGAGUCGACCCCUAAGGCGAGGCCGAAAGGCGUAGUCGAUGGGAAACAGGUUAAUAUUCCUGUACUUGGUGUUACUGCGAAGGGGGGACGGAGAAGGCUAUGUUGGCCGGGCGACGGUUGUCCCGGUUUAAGCGUGUAGGCUGGUUUUCCAGGCAAAUCCGGAAAAUCAAGGCUGAGGCGUGAUGACGAGGCACUACGGUGCUGAAGCAACAAAUGCCCUGCUUCCAGGAAAAGCCUCUAAGCAUCAGGUAACAUCAAAUCGUACCCCAAACCGACACAGGUGGUCAGGUAGAGAAUACCAAGGCGCUUGAGAGAACUCGGGUGAAGGAACUAGGCAAAAUGGUGCCGUAACU